This 70-nucleotide transfer RNA is filed under the name Lygodactylus kimhowelli. RNAcentral describes it as "tRNA-Tyr". Lineage: Eukaryota; Metazoa; Chordata; Lepidosauria; Squamata; Gekkonidae. The record is from RNAcentral.
GGUAUGGUGGCCGAGAUUUAGGCGGCGAGUUGUAGCCUCGCGCACCGGGUUAGUCCCGCAAUACCAGGCC